This 77-nucleotide transfer RNA is filed under the name Candidatus Peribacteria bacterium. Its description in RNAcentral is "tRNA-Met". It matches the Rfam family "tRNA". From Rfam's summary of the family: Transfer RNA (tRNA) molecules are approximately 80 nucleotides in length. Their secondary structure includes four short double-helical elements and three loops (D, anti-codon, and T loops). The record is from RNAcentral. Lineage: Bacteria; Candidatus Peregrinibacteriota; Candidatus Peribacteria.
GUCAGUGUAGCUCAGGUGGUUAGAGCACGAGAUUCAUACCCUCGAGGUCGGUGGUUCAAGUCCACCCACUGAUACCA